Molecule: long non-coding RNA, 246 nt
Filed under: Prunus dulcis (almond)
Lineage: Eukaryota; Viridiplantae; Streptophyta; Magnoliopsida; Rosales; Rosaceae
Description: sRNA ncRNA
Source: RNAcentral
AUGAAAUCCUGCUACAAAUCAUUGCUUAAAAUUACCAUUGCUAUAUUAUUGAUGCAUUUAGUUUACAAUAAUAAAGCCUUAGCCAGAGUUCACCCACCAUCUUCUUUGUCUUCAGCUACUUCUUCAUCCUCUCAAGCUCUCCUACAUACACACUCAGACAAGAAAAAGCCAGUCACCACCGAGCCAGUAUUCGAUAGCCUUCGAAGAAUACCUCCUAGCAUUCCGAAUCCUACUCAGAACAAGUAA